This is a long non-coding RNA of Mustela lutreola (European mink), 479 nucleotides long. RefSeq lists it as uncharacterized. The record is from RefSeq and is a predicted model, not a curated record. The transcript has 5 exons. NCBI's taxonomy places the organism in Eukaryota, Metazoa, Chordata, Mammalia, Carnivora, Mustelidae.
UACGCAGCCUUGAAGACCCAGCCCCACAGUCCUGUCCAUCCUAAAGCCAUGGGUGGUCUUUUGCUCCCUGCUUUGGUCACUGCUGAGCCAUCGUGCUCUGAGGAAGCCCAAACCAGCCAAUGCUGAGAGACCACAUAGAGAGAAACCAUGCAGACAAGAGCAGAAGCUGCAACCUAUCAUCUGCAUCAACAGAUUGGAGCACAAGUGAUGUAUUCAGUGCUGCAUGCCCGUGGUUAAGACCCUCAACUAAGCUGAUAGAGGGUGUGGCUACUGCCUUCCAAGUUAGCUUUCAUCCACUCCUUACAACCUGUGCAAUUCUAGUGUACCAGAAUUCAUUGUUUAUGUACCACACCCAGUUCUCCAUGCAGUACGUGCCCUCCAUAAUAUGGAAAGUGCCUGGGUACCUGCUUCUUUGGAUGAAGAUUUGAAUUGUUACCUUCCAGAGCCAAUAAUACAUCUCACCUCUCUGCAGACAAAGG